RNAcentral lists this ribosomal RNA (253 nucleotides) under uncultured bacterium. Its description in RNAcentral is "partial 16S ribosomal RNA". It matches the Rfam family "Bacterial small subunit ribosomal RNA", at positions 524 to 776 of the family's 1533-position model. The record is from RNAcentral.
UACAGAGGGGGCAAGCGUUGUUCGGAAUUACUGGGCGUAAAGGGCGCGUAGGCGGCCUGCUAAGUCGAACGUGAAAUCCCCGAGCUCAACUCGGGAACUGCGUCCGAUACUGGCAGGCUUGAAUCCGGGAGAGGGAUGCGGAAUUCCAGGUGUAGCGGUGAAAUGCGUAGAUAUCUGGAGGAACACCGGUGGCGAAGGCGGCAUCCUGGACCGACACUGACACUGAGGAGCGAAAGCCAGGGGAGCAAACGGG